UUUAUUGAGAGUUUGAUCCUGGCUCAGGACGAACGCUGGCGGCGUGCUUAACACAUGCAAGUCGAGCGAUGAAGUUCCUUCGGGGACGGAUUAGCGGCGGACGGGUGAGUAACACGUGGGUAACCUGCCUCAUAGAGGGGAAUAGCCUUUCGAAAGGAAGAUUAAUACCGCAUAAGAUUGUAGUUUCGCAUGAAACAGCAAUUAAAGGAGUA
Molecule: non-coding RNA, 212 nt
Filed under: Clostridium chromiireducens
Lineage: Bacteria; Bacillati; Bacillota; Clostridia; Eubacteriales; Clostridiaceae
Description: Clostridium chromoreductans Bacterial small subunit ribosomal RNA
Rfam family: Bacterial small subunit ribosomal RNA
Source: Rfam by way of RNAcentral